GCGGCUGUGGGUCAGUGGUAGAAUUCUCAUGUUCCACGUGGGAGACCCAGGUUUGAUUCCUGGCUGAUGCA
RNAcentral lists this transfer RNA (71 nucleotides) under Loxodonta africana (African savanna elephant). It matches the Rfam family "tRNA". From Rfam's summary of the family: Transfer RNA (tRNA) molecules are approximately 80 nucleotides in length. Their secondary structure includes four short double-helical elements and three loops (D, anti-codon, and T loops). Further hydrogen bonds mediate the characteristic L-shaped molecular structure. tRNAs have two regions of fundamental functional importance: the anti-codon, which is responsible for specific mRNA codon recognition, and the 3' end, to which the tRNAs corresponding amino acid is attached (by aminoacyl-tRNA synthetases). tRNAs cope with the degeneracy of the genetic code in two manners: having more than one tRNA (with a specific anti-codon) for a particular amino acid; and 'wobble' base-pairing, i.e. permitting non-standard base-pairing at the 3rd anti-codon position. Lineage: Eukaryota; Metazoa; Chordata; Mammalia; Proboscidea; Elephantidae. The record is from Rfam by way of RNAcentral.